CUUUCCUAUUUCUACUUUUAUGUUGAUCAUAUUGAUCCUUGGUGUAAUUAUUGUAAAACCUGACAGACAUCCUGCUUCAAGGGAGCAAGCUCAAAAGAAAACAAAGUGAUCAAACUUUUUACCGUGAUACAUUUUGUUUAUUUAACUUUUCAAGACCUAAUAAAA
Molecule: non-coding RNA, 165 nt
Filed under: Tiarina fusus
Lineage: Eukaryota; Ciliophora; Prostomatea; Prorodontida; Colepidae
Source: RNAcentral